UGGGGAAUAUUGCACAAUGGGCGCAAGCCUGAUGCAGCGACGCCGCGUGAGGGAUGACGGCCUUCGGGUUGUAAACCUCUUUCAAUAGGGACGAAGCGCAAGUGACGGUACCUAUAGAAGAAGGACCGGCCAACUACGUGCCAGCAGCCGCGGUAAUACGUAGGGUCCGAGCGUUGUCCGGAAUUACUGGGCGUAAAGAGCUCGUAGGUGGUUUGUCGCGUUGUUCGUGAAAACUCACAGCUUAACUGUGGGCGUGCGGGCGAUACGGGCAGACUAGAGUACUGCAGGGGAGACUGGAAUUCCUGGUGUAGCGGUGGAAUGCGCAGAUAUCAGGAGGAACACCGGUGGCGAAGGCGGGUCUCUGGGCAGUAACUGACGCUGAGGAGCGAAAGCGUGGGGAGCGAACA
This 407-nucleotide ribosomal RNA is filed under the name uncultured bacterium. Its description in RNAcentral is "bacterial SSU rRNA". It matches the Rfam family "Bacterial small subunit ribosomal RNA", at positions 355 to 774 of the family's 1533-position model. The record is from RNAcentral. RNAcentral also lists the same sequence under 2 other names.